Molecule: long non-coding RNA, 647 nt
Organism: Balaenoptera ricei (Rice's whale)
Lineage: Eukaryota; Metazoa; Chordata; Mammalia; Artiodactyla; Balaenopteridae
Exons: 4
Source: RefSeq, a predicted model, not a curated record
AUGGGCUUUGCAUUUGCUGAUGGGGCCAUGGGCUGUUUGCAUCUCCUGGGAUCCUUUGGGUCAAGUGAGCUGGCAGAAUACCUCCAACAGUGUCAUUAGCAGCCUCAGGAGCCGCUUCAAGGAUGCAACCCUGAGAGGAUGUAUUAUUGACACCAUCUGGAAUGAAUAUGUGACUGAACCCUGUUAGGGCUGCUAUCUAGGUCCAGCAGGUGUAGAGAUCUACUCAUCUUGCAGCCGCCCAAGACAGCAAGCCUGGAAAUCUCGGGGCUUUGCUCUAUCGAAAGUGCUCGGCUGGGUGAUUUUUGAGCACCACCCUCCAGAAGUGCUGGCGUCCGGAUGCAUUUUCCUUUGCUUUGCAAAGAAGAGUCGUGAACUUCAAAACCCUCCGAGACGGAUUAUUAAUCCUGCUUUGCAGGAAAGGAAAACCCUCCAUCCUCGGCCACCGGGCACCCCUCUCCGGAGACCCUGCUAUCGCCCAGGCGCUCCGAGCCGGAAGGGGACGCUUUGGGAAUGACCAUGCUCCACGGAGGGACAGAGCCGGCCCCCAGCUUCUCUACACAGAGCCUCCUCCACUAAAGCUCCAAAAAUCAAAAACCGUAAUUGCCAGAAGAAUCAUUAAAAAAAAAAAAAAAGUCCAGCCACUAACC